This is a small nucleolar RNA of Loxodonta africana (African savanna elephant), 134 nucleotides long. The record is from Ensembl. Lineage: Eukaryota; Metazoa; Chordata; Mammalia; Proboscidea; Elephantidae.
ACGCGCUGCCUUUGAGCCCCCGCCGCGCCUGCACGUGGCGCCGGGGGUUAAGCUGCAGCGCCAGAGCACGUACUCGCGCAUAACUGGGGUCUCCAACUCCCUGAGGACGGCCCUUUUAACCGCGAGCUACACGG